GAUGAACGCUAGCGGGAGGCUUAAUACAUGCAAGUCGAGGGGUAACAGUGGAGCUUGCUCCAGCUGACGACCGGCGCACGGGUGAGUAACGCGUACACAAUCUGCCCUUAAGUGAGGAAUAGCCCUGGGAAACUGGGAUUAAUGCCUCAUAAUAUUCUAUCACCGCAUGACGAUAGAAUUAAAGCUCCGGCGCUUAAGGAUGAGUGUGCGUCCCAUUAGCUAGUUGGUAAGGUAACGGCUUACCAAGGCGACGAUGGGUAGGGGCGUGAGAGCGUGAUCCCCCACACGGGUACUGAGACACGGACCCGACUCCUACGGGAGGCAGCAGUAAGGAAUAUUGGACAAUGGGCGAAAGCCUGAUCCAGCCAUCCCGCGUGCAGGAAGACGGCCCUAUGGGUUGUAAACUGCUUUUAUUUUUGAGAAGAAAACCCCCUGAUUUAUCAGGGGCUGACGGUAUCUUAUGAAUAAGCACCGGCUAAC
This 480-nucleotide ribosomal RNA is filed under the name uncultured bacterium. RNAcentral's name for it is "bacterial SSU rRNA". It matches the Rfam family "Bacterial small subunit ribosomal RNA", at positions 28 to 501 of the family's 1533-position model. The record is from RNAcentral.